GGGUCGCUAGCUCAACUGGCAGAGCAGGGGCCUCUUAAGCCCAAGGUUCGGAGUUCGAUCCUCCGGCGACCCA
Molecule: transfer RNA, 73 nt
Filed under: Nitriliruptorales bacterium
Lineage: Bacteria; Bacillati; Actinomycetota; Nitriliruptoria; Nitriliruptorales
Also listed under: 3 other names
Rfam family: tRNA
About the family: Transfer RNA (tRNA) molecules are approximately 80 nucleotides in length. Their secondary structure includes four short double-helical elements and three loops (D, anti-codon, and T loops).
Source: Rfam by way of RNAcentral